Molecule: ribosomal RNA, 253 nt
Filed under: uncultured bacterium
Lineage: Bacteria
Description: partial 16S ribosomal RNA
Rfam family: Bacterial small subunit ribosomal RNA
Source: RNAcentral
UACGUAGGGUGCGAGCGUUGUCCGGAAUUAUUGGGCGUAAAGGGCUCGUAGGCGGUUUGUCGCGUCGGGAGUGAAAAUCCAGGGCUUAACUCUGGACUGGCUUCCGAUACGGGCAGACUAGAGGUAUGCAGGGGAGAACGGAAUUCCUGGUGUAGCGGUGAAAUGCGCAGAUAUCAGGAAGAACACCGGUGGCGAAGGCGGCUCUCUGGGCCUUACCUGACGCUGAGGAGCGAAAGCGUGGGUAGCGAACAGG